AGGCUUUGUUCUUUUGCUCUUUGCAGUAAAUGUUGCUGCUGCUGACUGUUGGGUCCCAGCCGUCUUUAAAAGCUAUUACACUCACGGUGAAGGUCUGUGGUUUCACUCCUGAAAUCAAGCGAGUGUACGAACCCACCGGAAGGAAGAAACUCCAGACUCCGAAGGAACAAACUCUGGACACACCAAAUGUAAGAAUUGUAACACUCACCGCGACGGUCCGUGGCGUCCACCCUCGCAGCUUCUUUCUUGAAGUCGCCGAGACCAAGAGCGCACCGAAAGGAACCAAUUGUGGACACAUCCGUUUUAGUGGAAUAAUAGUCCUUGGUUCUCUGGACAACCGGGAGAAUUGCAUUUUCUGAGGCCCACGAUAAGCACCCAACCGUUAAUAUUUCCAUGCUUCUCUGUCCAUCCCAUGGAGCCUGGGGCUUGAGGGACUGUGCAGUGAGGCAGCAACUCACAUCUCCAGCUGUUGGACUGGUCCUGCCAGCGACGUCUGCUCAGUAGAACAAGCAGCACUUCCCCCAGCUCAGCACUGUCUCAUUUCUGAGACUGAACACCCCGUGGUCACUCUACAUGGAUGGGUUAAUUUCCCUUGGAAAAGUAUUGAUGAUCAAGUGAUGCUAGCAGCAACAGUGUUAAAGGCUUUAACGCUUUUAAAGGGUGACACAGGCUUAAACUGAGACAAUCCAGCAUGGAACACUUGCAGGAAGUACUAGGAAAGUGCAUUUUCUUUCCAUGAGGGUUGCCAAACUGGAAGCAUGUUAGCUAAAGCUACCUGUAGUCAUUUUGUGGCCACAUUGGGUGAGAUUGUCUGAGAAAGCAAACCAACUGAAGCAGAGCAGAGAAGAUACUCUACCAACCUAGUUGGAGCCCUGGUUCCAGCCUUGCCUGAAGCUAAAUGCACCUCUAUGCUUCCUUUUUACUGACCCAAUAAAUUUCCCUAUUUGUUUAAA
This 953-nucleotide long non-coding RNA is filed under the name Homo sapiens (human). RNAcentral describes it as "non-protein coding LINC02096:6". Lineage: Eukaryota; Metazoa; Chordata; Mammalia; Primates; Hominidae. The record is from RNAcentral.